UGCGUAGGCGGCUUUCUAAGUUGGAUGUGAAAACUCUGGGCUCAACCCAGAGACUGCAUCCAAAAACCUGGAGAGCUUGGGUUCUGGAGGGGAAAGCGGAAUUCCUGGUGUAGCGGUGAAAUGCGUAGAUAUCAGGAGGAACACCGGUGGCGAAGGCGGCUUUCUGGACAGAUACCGACGCUGAGGCACGAAAGCUAGGGGAGCAAACA
This 209-nucleotide ribosomal RNA is filed under the name uncultured bacterium. RNAcentral describes it as "partial 16S ribosomal RNA". It matches the Rfam family "Bacterial small subunit ribosomal RNA", at positions 568 to 774 of the family's 1533-position model. The record is from RNAcentral.